UACGUAGGGGGCGAGCGUUAUCCGGAAUUACUGGCGUAAGACGCACGCCAGGCGGUUCGCCAAGGUUUGGAGUGACAGUUGUCGGCUCAACCGACAAAGGACUUCAAAACUGGUAGAACUUGAGUCGACGAGAGGAACAUGGAACUCCAGGUGUAGUAGUGAAAUGCGUAGAUAUCUGGAAGAACACCAAUGGCGAAGGCAAUGUUCUGGCUCGUUUCUGACGCUCAGGUGCGAAAGCCAGGGGAGCGAACGGG
This 254-nucleotide ribosomal RNA is filed under the name uncultured bacterium. RNAcentral describes it as "partial 16S ribosomal RNA". It matches the Rfam family "Bacterial small subunit ribosomal RNA", at positions 524 to 776 of the family's 1533-position model. The record is from RNAcentral.